Molecule: ribosomal RNA, 334 nt
Filed under: uncultured bacterium
Lineage: Bacteria
Description: bacterial SSU rRNA
Rfam family: Bacterial small subunit ribosomal RNA
Source: RNAcentral
GUCUAGUACUCAGAGUUUGAUCCUGGCUCAGAUUGAACGCUGGCGGCAUGCCUUACACAUGCAAGUCGAACGGCAGCACGGGAGCAAUCCUGGUGGCGAGUGGCGAACGGGUGAGUAAAGUAUCGGAACGUGCCCAGUCUGGGGGAUAACGUAGCGAAAGUUACGCUAAUACCGCAUACGAUCUAUGGAUGAAAGCGGGGGAUCGCAAGACCUCGCGCGAUUGGAGCGGCCGAUAUCAGAUUAGGUAGUUGGUGGGGUAAAGGCUCACCAAGCCGACGAUCUGUAGCUGGUCUGAGAGGACGACCAGCCACACUGGGACUGAGACACGGCCCAG